AUUAGUGGCGAACGGGUGAGUAACACGUGGGCAAUCUGCCCUUCACUCUGGGACAAGCCCUGGAAACGGGGUCUAAUACCGGAUAACACUUCUGCUCUCAUGGGCAGGGGUUAAAAGCUCCGGCGGUGAAGGAUGAGCCCGCGGCCUAUCAGCUUGUUGGUGAGGUAAUGGCUCACCAAGGCGACGACGGGUAGCCGGCCUGAGAGGGCGACCGGCCACACUGGGACUGAGACACGGCCCAGACUCCUACGGGAGGCAGCAGUGGGGAAUAUUGCACAAUGGGCGAAAGCCUGAUGCAGCGACGCCGCGUGAGGGAUGACGGCCUUCGGGUUGUAAACCUCUUUCAGCAGGGAAGAAGCGAAAGUGACGGUACCUGCAGAAGAAGCGCCGGCUAACUACGUGCCAGCAGCCGCGGUAAUACGUAGGGCGCAAGCGUUGUCCGGAAUUAUUGGGCGUAAAGAGCUCGUAGGCGGCUUGUCACGUCGGGUGUGAAAGCCCGGGGCUUAACCCCGGGUCUGCAUUCGAUACGGGCUAGCUAGAGUGUGGUAGGGGAGAUCGGAAUUCCUGGUGUAGCGGUGAAAUGCG
This 585-nucleotide ribosomal RNA is filed under the name Streptomyces galilaeus. RNAcentral describes it as "bacterial SSU rRNA". It matches the Rfam family "Bacterial small subunit ribosomal RNA", at positions 91 to 690 of the family's 1533-position model. Lineage: Bacteria; Bacillati; Actinomycetota; Actinomycetes; Kitasatosporales; Streptomycetaceae. The record is from RNAcentral.